Long non-coding RNA from Corvus hawaiiensis (hawaiian crow), 6340 nucleotides. RefSeq lists it as uncharacterized. The record is from RefSeq and is a predicted model, not a curated record. The transcript is spliced from 2 exons. Lineage: Eukaryota; Metazoa; Chordata; Aves; Passeriformes; Corvidae.
CGUCCUUUUCUUCCCGGUUAUGUAAUACACGAGAGUAUUUAACCAUUCGCUGGUUUGACACAUACAUGUCAAACAGAUCAGCUUUGGGGAGGAUCAGCUAGGGCCGCCGAGGGGCAGGGGGGAGUGAGCAGGAAUUUGGCAAUUCACGAGCUAUGAAUGGCCACCCCUCCGGGGAAGGAAUCCCACCAAAGCCUUCAGCGGUCCUCGCCCCAUGAUAGCCGGGCAAGACCUGGAUCGGGUGCUGUACCACCAUUCCUAUCUCAAGCACGAUCGGCCUCACAACACCUGCCUGGCAAAGAACCUUCCCACUCCCGUGGGAUGUCGCAGGCUGCAAAUCAGGGUACGGGCUCACCCCGGCCGCCCGGCCGCCUGCUCGGCUGUCACCCGCGUCCCCAAGGGGGAACUGAAAGACUGUUCUGCCCCCAGAGCAUCGCUGGGAGAGGCGGCAGCUCCACAGAAAAGGGCUUAGUGUCUCCUGUGCUGCUUUGGGACUUUGGCCCCUCACACCCUCUAUAAGCUGAGUUUGCUGAGAAAUGUGUACGGCAGAAGUGUUGGCAUCAAGAUGAGUAAACCCCUGGUUUGUGAGAUGCUACUCUCCCGGCACCUCACUGAAAUUCGGCGUGCUGUCACUGCGGGGGAAAAGAGAAGAGUCAGGGAGGAACGAAGAGUCAUCAGUGAGGACACCAAAACCACCAGCUUCGCCACUUUGAACUACAGAACCAUGCAGAGUUGCAAGGCUCUCCUCUUGUCAACAGACAAUUUUUUAUUAGAAAAAACAAACAGAUGCAUAAAUCCUUCUGGAACUGGCUUAGCUUGCCUUGUGUCUUCACAUAGUGAAAUUUGAUCUUAGCGCAUCAUGCCCAGGGAAGUCCAGGCUUUGGACAGGGCUUGGACACCACCUGGGUGGCUGGAAUGUGUGAAAGGACUCAUGUUCAUCCAUCCCGGGCACUGGGGCCCCACCCGCCUCUGUUGAUGCCUCCUUGCCUGGGUUCCCCUCAGCCAGCGCUGAGUCAGUGAAUCAAUUCCGUGUGUGAAAUUCCAUGGAAUAUCGUGUCCCUUGAUGGAAGCAAAUGGCAAGGCAGCCAAACCAAGGAGAGAAGCAAACUGCCACUCAGAAGAGCGUUCAGACAUUUGACACUCAGUGAAUAGCUGGAGCUUUCCAAAACAAGCACGUCGUACAUCACAAUGAAAUCCUAUAGCAAGAGCCCAUCUUUGCCAAGAUAAAGUUGCAGGCUUUUGUCCCAGCAUACAUAAUUUGUACUUUUAAUACAGCUUUUGUAUAAAUCACAAAUGAUCACACAUCAUCUAUUCCACCAGGUCACCCGAGACACACAGAAAAAAAUACAUGACGGGAGUUAAAUUUUAUCUAUAAAAAAAAGAAAGAGAGGGUUUUCUUUGACUACAUCAUUUUCUCCUAGACAUGCAGGCAUUUUUCCUAAGCUGAAAAUGUUGAAUACGUCAUUGCACAGCAAUCUAUAGGAACUAUAAGGAGUCUAAUAUUCUUGUUCACUACAGGAAAUACUGUUUGUGUAACCAUCAGUUUGUCCUUUAUUGGUCAAGUAUGAUUUAGUUCUCUCAAUGAUAUUAUCUUUAUUACUUGAUCAUUCUUAUACAAGGACCACCUAUUUUUUCUUGCUUUAAAUGUCUACGAAGUACAUAUGAAUGUAUAUACUAUCUAAUACAUCUAAAUGUAUCUACGUAUCUAUAUGGGAAUAUUUUUUAAAAUUCCUCAUUAUCAGCAGUAAAGAAGGGGUUGUUUGUGCUUUUUAAAAAAGGAAUUCUAGGCCAAAUUCAUAUGUAUGAACACGAUCGAGUUAUAUGUGCAAACAGAUGUAAAGGAAUCUGUGGAUGUAAUUUAUUCCAUAGGGCUCCGAGGAAAAGAACAUACAGAUAAGCACACUGUUUUACUUUAUUUUCUAUCCGAAUCUUCAUUUUAUUGUAUUUUAAUUCCAGAGGAUUCAUUUAUAAAAAUAGCUUCCCAAGUGUUGCCAUGAUAGGCCCCGAGGACCUUGCUGUAGAACUACAGUGGAAAGUUGUGGUUCUGUAUUAGCAGAGAUACUUUGACCCAAUUAACCUACAUUUAACCUGAAAUUUCCUUUGGGAACUAGUCCAGUGCAAGGUGUUCAAAGAUGUCAUAAAGAGGGAAAUAUGUAGUGUUGUAUUCCACAACAGUGGAAUUGCUGAAUCCAAUACCCAGAAGUGACCCUGGGAGUUUGGGGGAAAAGGGAGUGAGUUGUCAAUCCUCUGGGUGACAGGAAAAUCUAGUUUAAACAUCUUGUAAAUUUUGGGCCUCUAUUCUGAAAAAACACUUUGGAAAAAAUACUGUUAAUGGAAUGGUAAUAAAAGUUGAUUAAAGCAAUGGAAGAAAAGUUGUUACGCUACUGUUUUUACGUCUGGGUUUGUAUAUAUGUGCUCUAUGUUUUUAUAUGUUCAUUUGUCACUAAAUCAUUAUUUGCAUUUUCACAUCACGAUAAUGUAUCAAAUACAAAACAAUUUAGUACAGCUGUUGAAGAACUGCUACAAUAACUUACAGGAAAAAAAACUGGUUUCACUAAGAAUGUACCUGUAUGUCUCCCCUUACAGACUGACUGAGAAGCAGAACUGAACCAGUACCUUCUCAGUAAGUUUACUCACAUGCUUUUGCUGAUCUAAUUGUUUACUCUUGCACAGAGUAUAAUGUGGCUACUUGAAAGGUAUUUGUAAUAUGCAGCUAAGAUUUAGUUAUCUGAGAAAGCAGGAAGAUUUUGAAAUACAUACUAUACAUCACUGCCAUAGUAAGUCUUGAAGAUCUUGAAGAUCUUGCAAACAACUUGGGGGUUAAUACAGCUGAUGACAUCAUUUGAGAUUUACUGUUCCUGUUUUAUGGAGACAUUUUUGGGGGUAACUGUCUUGUUAAAUCAAUUUUAAGUCGUAUAUACCACAAUGGUAAUUCAUUCCUCAUGGAUUUACUUGUGGCUGCACACACUCCUCAGUGGUGUGAGAGAGGUGGUAACAGGUUUCCAUGAGAUCCCUCCUUCAGGAAUCUCUGGCCAAUACUCAGUGGGAGUUCCAGCAGAAGGCAGUCAAAUGCAAAUCAUUACCGUUAUGCAGAUGAGGAUAUCAUCAUCAUCGUCGUCAUCAUCAUCAUCAUCAUCAUUUUUUAUGAUCAUGCCUUAACCUCUUAGUGCAAAAUGUUGCAAACAUCCAAGCCAGGAGCUACUUAGUCUAAGCAGAAGAUCAGAUCCCUAGAGCCAAGAAAGAAGUACAGGGACUAUGUGCUGCCCUUUGUGACAGGCAGCAUCCCCAGGACACAGCUGGCAUAUUUGCUACUGCUAUUUUGGGAGAAGAAUAGCAAAAUAAGGUUAUAGAGGAACUUUUGAGAGAAACAGUUUGGUGUGUCUGCAGAGGUCAUUGGUGAGUCCUUGCAUGUGGUCAAGGACAGCAUGAGAAAAUAAAAAGCACUGUUGAGAAAAAAUGAGAAAACGAAAUGUGUGGCAGAAGGUGUCUCACAGUCAGGCUGGAGAAAAUCAAAAGCAGAAGGGAAAAAAAAGACAGAAAAGCUGGAACCAAGGGACUCAAUUAAACUGGAGAAAUACCACUAGUGAGGCAGGAGGCAAACACGAGUGGGCUGAGGGAGAAUUGAACCUGGCUGGCAGAGUGAUGGUAAUGAAAAAAUGAUGAGUAAAGAGCAGAGGGAAACAGUGUGAGCAAAGGCUGGGAGUGGCUGGGGGUUGGAGGAGACAGAACCAGGGCAGAGCGGGGAGGAACUGGGGCAAGGUGGGCAGGGAAUUGUGGAGAAAACGAAGUCAGAAGCGAUGGCAUGAGAGUCCUGGCUGCUUGGUACAGCUGGACCAGCAGGUUGAAAAGAGCUGGAAAACACCCACUGAGAUGUUGGGGGUGAGAGCAGGACUCUGGCACAGCAAGAGAAGGGGCCAACACAUGGGCAAAUUGAGGAGGGCAGUGAAUGGGAGAGAAAGAGGAGGGUCAUGUAGGGUCAGUCCAACACAGUACAUCAAGUGAAAGGAUUAGAUCGAGGGGGAUGCUGGGAAAGAAAGUGGCAUUUGAAAUGUGGAAACCCUGAUAGUCCAAAUCAGCACUGAAAUCACAUGGGGAAGAAAAGACAGCAGCUUUUCUCCUUAAGCCUGUUUUCAGCUGGUUCCUUUUCAGCAAAGGUUUGCCAGCUGGGAUUAAGAUGGGAGAGUCAGGACUCAGUUUUUUGACCAGACAUGUGAAUUAAAAGCUCCAGGACUAUUUUAUUUAAUACAGAUGCAACAAGCAUUAAAUGCACUAAAGAACUAAAAUGCACUAAGCACUAAAUGCAAACUAUAGUGACAACAAUGCUGCAAAACUUUCUUGAUAUGACUACAAUUUUCAUAUUGAGACACACACUUGUUGGAAAUAUGACUGUCAGAGGUGAGCCCUAACUGUUAAAGUUAGUAGAGAUUGGUCUGGGAGCUCUAAUGAGAAUUUCACAGACCCUGUUAUUAGUGUGGUGUCCUUAAGAAGGGUAUUGUCCUACAGCUCACAAAUUGCCAGAGCAUGAAACUGUCUCAAUGUUCUUGGGAGAUAUCUCAAAUUAGUGCUCUCAGUAUUCCAAAGGCAUUGGCGUGUCCUAACACAGAUUUCAUAAUGUUCUCUGAAUGUGAGUCAGGAGAGGCAGUGUGAUGGCUGAGCUCCUGAAAGCAAGGGGAUCAGCAGACACUGGGCUAUGAUUGCUCUCAGUUUCAGAAAGCCCUGGGUAACUGGGAAAAUGAGUUUAGAAUUAAAAAGACACAGUGGGAUAAAAUUUCCUCUUUUUUCUUAUUCCAUGUGAACCAAGUAUAAAUGCAAAUCACUCUUUGCUUAUUCUGUCAAGAUGCUCUCAUAUAUUGGCGUAGAAAUAGGAAAAAUGUGUAAAAUAUUAAAGCACUCUCAUUUCUUGGGAAAAAGUAAGCCCCACAGAUUGGAAGAAAGAUACAGAGAGCACAGCGGGUGCCAUCUGGAAUAAGUAAGUAACCCUGGGAAGAAACAGUGAUGUUUACAAGGCCUAAUGCUGAUACAGAGAAUUCUCUCCAUCUGGCAUGAAGCCUGCAAAUAAUCUGCCACAGGAGUGCAUAAUUCAAUAGAAACAGGUUUGAUAAUCUGCAAGUUGCAUUCCCCAUAGAAACCUUGAAAGAGACAUUUACUGUAUUAUGCAGCUGAGCAGCUUCUCUCUGCACCCGACUUCGAGGGCAGGCAGACCCACAGACCAUAAAAAUGGGGUUUAUGGCAAAUGGGAUCCACUGUUCUCUUAGCAGAAAACAAACAUUGCAGGGCACCCACAUCCCCUCAGGAUGGUGUGAAAAUUCUGAGACAAUGCCUUCAUAGGGGAACAUUGCAUUUAUUUUUGAUACAGAUGCAAUAUACUGAAAAUCAUUUAAAUGAAUCUGUUCAGAUGCAGCUGGGACUGUACAAACGCCUGGAGAAAAUGUGUGUAACAGCAGAAAAAAAUAAUCUUAAAAGGCUGUAGGCAGAGCAGCCCUGACAACAGUGAUCGGAGCCAAUGUUAUCACCCCUCUCAUGCAAGCAAAGAUACAGCAAACAACACCUUGUUAAACAAGAGCAAGGAGAUCUAGCUUAACAUCAGUCCCUGUUUAUGUGGGGGAUUUCUGGGCAGGUGGGAAGUGCAUAGCAGGGCGUCUGUAAUUGCUGACUCGCUGUUGAUAAUGCACAUUCUUCCUGGUCCACAUUUAUGUUGUUCACAUUCUCAGCUGAAAAGCUUUGUAGCUGCCUGGGAGGUGUGGGUUGUGAUUUUCUGUGGGGGGAAAAAAAAGAAGAGGGAAAAAAGUGAAAAAAUAGCUUAGAGAAACAUGAUUUUAAAAAAUUAAAAUCAACAAUAUCCAUAUGCAAUUAUAUCAACAACUUAUGUAAAAUUUGUAACUUCAUCAUUAAUAGUAGAAUGCUUCCCAGGGGAUAAGGAUAUUAAUUGCACUUCAAAUUGACACAGAUAUAUUUUUUAAAUAGAAUACAAAAAUAAACAUUCAUAGUGCCUUGUCACAAAGGCACUACUGUUACAUGCUAAAAUGUGCAAAGGCCUGAAUCCAUAUCAAAGUACACUUGGUCCUUUUAAUGCAGAAAUAAGACUUCAUUUCACAAGUAAGUUCCUCUUGAAUGCAUGUAAGAAUGUAAAAUUAAAACAAUUUUACCAUGUAAAAAAUGAAAAUUGUGUUCACUCCUUUAUUAUUAUGUUUGUUUUUUUUCUUCUUGGGUCACUUGUAUUGUUUCAAAUGUUAACUCAACCAUUUUGUUAAACACUGGUGGUUGCAAGGGGAGCUGAAAAGUGUAUUUAUUCUAAUUUGUCAUCCUAUUUAAUUGUAUCAAUAAUAAAGUUAGGUUGUCAAUA